AUGGCAAGCAUUUCUCUCGUUCUCACAAUUUGCGUCCUGGUCUUCUACGUGCCCGCCCCCUCCCUGGCGUCGCCCUCCCACGGCAAUGACUUCCUCCGCUGCCUCUCGACGGACGUCCCCAGCCAGCUCGUACAGACGCCGAGCUCGCCGUCGUUCAAGCAGCUCCUGGUGUCGUCCAUCAGGAACGCCAGGUUCGUGGCGCCGGCCACAGCCAGCCCCCCGAUCUGCAUCGUGACUCCAACCAACGCAUCGCAUGUCCAGGCCGCCGUGCGCUGCGGGCGCCGCCACGGCGUGCGCGUCCGCGUGCGCAGCGGCGGGCACGACUGCGAGGGCCUCUCGUACCGGUCGGGCAGCCCCGGCAGCGAGGCGUUCGCGGUUAUCGACCUCGCCAAGCUCCACGCCGUCCGCGUCAACCCACACGAGGCCACCGCUUGGGUCGACGCCGGGGCGGGGAUCGGGGAGCUCUACUACCAUGUCGCCACGGCUGCGCCUGGGCUGGGCUUCCCGGCUGGUGUGUGCCCGACCAUCGGCGUAGGGGGGCACUUCAGUGGAGGCGGCAUGGGCCUCAUGAUGCGCAAGUACGGUCUCUCCGCCGACAACGUGCUCGACGCCACCAUGGUCGAUGCCCAAGGGAACCUCCUGGCGGACAAGAAGGCCAUGGGGGACGACCUCUUCUGGGCCAUCCGCGGUGGUGGCGGCGGGAAUUUUGGCAUCGUGCUGUCGUGGAAGGUGAGGCUCGUGCCGGUCCCGCCGACAGUGACCUUCGUCAAAGUUGCCAGGACCAUGGAACAAGGCGCGGUCGACUCGGUGACCAAAUGGCAAACGCUCGCGCCGGCGCUCCCCGACGACCUCAGCGUACGUGUCGUUGUGCAAAACGGUGAGGCCAACUUCCAGGCCCUGUACCUCGGCAACAGCAGCGCGGUGGUGACGACGAUGGGGAGCCGGUUCCCAGAGCUCGGGGUGACGAUCGCCGACUGCAAGGAGAUGAGCUGGCUGCAGUACACGGCGUACAUAUUCUUCGGCGACGCCAUCAACAGCAAGCCUCUGGAGGCCCUUCUCCUCAACCGGUCCAUGCCCCUGGGCCGCUUCGUCAAGAACAAGUCCGACUACGUCAAGAAACCACUCACCAAGGAGACAUGGGAGAAGAUCUUCCUCUGGCCCAAUGGUACCGCCACGGGGCAGCUCGUCCUGGAGCCGCACGGCGGAAUAAUGGGCCGCAUUACCGCCGACGACAUCCCGUUCCCGCACCGGAGCAGCGUGCUCUACAACAUCCAGUACGUGGAGUUCUGGAAUGGCACAGCGCCCGGAGGCGACGUUACCCCGAAAUGGGUGGGGAGCCUGUACGACUUCAUGGCACCGUUCGUGAGCAAGAACCCGAGGGGCGCGUAUGUGAACUACCGGGACCUUGACCUUGGCACGAACAAGGUGGUCGAUGGCGUGACGAGCUAUGAAAGUGCCAAGGCGUGGGGCGAGAGUUAUUUCGGCCCGGAAAACUUUAGGAGACUCGCCGAGAUCAAGCGCAAGGUGGACGCUGGCGACUACUUCCAGAGCGAGCAGAGCAUGCCACCACUUCCCCUAAAACAGUAG
Molecule: ribosomal RNA, 1587 nt
Filed under: Triticum aestivum (bread wheat)
Lineage: Eukaryota; Viridiplantae; Streptophyta; Magnoliopsida; Poales; Poaceae
Description: partial small subunit ribosomal RNA
Source: RNAcentral